UCAAGGAAGAGGUAACUACCCCAUCACCAGCACCCAAAGCUGAUAUUCUACUUAAACUAUUCCCUG
This 66-nucleotide transfer RNA is filed under the name Odobenus rosmarus (walrus). Its description in RNAcentral is "tRNA-Pro". The record is from RNAcentral. Lineage: Eukaryota; Metazoa; Chordata; Mammalia; Carnivora; Odobenidae.